RNAcentral lists this ribosomal RNA (786 nucleotides) under Triticum aestivum (bread wheat). RNAcentral's name for it is "partial small subunit ribosomal RNA". Lineage: Eukaryota; Viridiplantae; Streptophyta; Magnoliopsida; Poales; Poaceae. The record is from RNAcentral.
CACCAGUUGGACGCAUAUCCUUAGUAGGUUGAAUUUUAGUUGAGAACAAAGACUACAACUAUUAAAAGAGAAAUACAUCCUAGUCUUAUAUAGUCGCUACAUAUUAGCACUGUUAAACUUCAGGUAUCUGCGUGUAGGUUGUCUCGGUACCAAUCACGUAAUUGAAGAUCGAUCGUGUUAUACCUGUACAUGUUUAAAGGCAAGGAACCGAGUUCACUUACACAACCUAACAUACUGCAAUUUAGGAUGAAGGAGGCAAGCCUUAAUGAGCAGGUUCUUUACUUACAUAGAUCUACAUAAAAUCAACAUCUAUGUAGGUAAAAACACUGUUCAUUAAGGCUUGCCUCCCUCAUGCAGGAUGUUAUUUAAGGGAGAACAGUGUGUCCUAAAAUUGUCCAGUAUAUUCACCUAUACGAGCGCAUACCCUGAUACUCUACUGCAUGGGCUGCUUAAAAAAACUUCACAGGCUGUUACGUCAUUACCAGCAGUUUAAAUAACGUUCUUUCCUUACAUAACAUCGAAACUGUAGACUACCAUUGGAAGUACACAUACUGACAGGCACACAGUGUUUUUAACUUUUCUGAUGUGUACAAUUUGGACAAUCACCGACAAGCCAUGAUCGACAAGUAGGUUGAAAUGGUAGUCACAACAGUCGCAGGUUAUGACCGGAUUAUCAAAAUCUGACCCUGGUCCGGACCCUCGUCUGUGUUCUUAAAGUCUGAAUAUUAUUGGGUCCCAGUCACCGUAAAUUGGGACCCCUGCUGUUUACAAAGUGCCCACCCAAAG